This 73-nucleotide transfer RNA is filed under the name Candidatus Yonathbacteria bacterium RIFOXYC1_FULL_52_10. RNAcentral's name for it is "tRNA-Asp". RNAcentral also lists the same sequence under 1 other name. The record is from RNAcentral. Lineage: Bacteria; Candidatus Yonathiibacteriota.
GGGGCGGUAGUGUCAAAGGUAGCACGCCCUGUCGUCAACGGAGGAAGUACCAGUUCGACCCUGGUUCGCUCCA